ACAACAGGUGGAGCCUGCGGUUUAAUCGGACUCAACGCCGGGAAACUCACCAGAUAAGACAGCUGAAUGAUAGUCGGGCUGAAGACUCUACUUGACUAGCUGAGAGGAGGUGCAUGGCCGUCAUCAGUUCGUACUGUGAAGCAUCCUGUUAAGUCAGGCAACGAGCGAGACCCACGCCAACAGUUGCCAGCUCGUCCUCCGGGAUGGUGGGGACACUGUUGGGACCGCCUCUGCUAAAGAGGAGGAAGGAAUGGGCAACGGUAGGUCAGCAUGCCCCGAAUUAUCUGGGCUACACGCGGGCUACAAUGGGUGGGACAAUGGGUAUCGACACCGAAAGGUGAAGGCAAUCUCCUAAACCCAUCCGUAGUUCGGAUUGUGGGCUGCAACUCGCCCACAUGAAGCUGGAAUCUGUAGUAAUCGUGUCUCAAAAUGGCACGGUGAAUAUGUCCCUGCUCCUU
This 458-nucleotide ribosomal RNA is filed under the name uncultured Methanomicrobiales archaeon. Its description in RNAcentral is "bacterial SSU rRNA". It matches the Rfam family "Archaeal small subunit ribosomal RNA", at positions 881 to 1338 of the family's 1478-position model. Lineage: Archaea; Methanobacteriati; Methanobacteriota; Methanomicrobia; Methanomicrobiales. The record is from RNAcentral.